RNAcentral lists this ribosomal RNA (253 nucleotides) under uncultured bacterium. RNAcentral's name for it is "partial 16S ribosomal RNA". It matches the Rfam family "Bacterial small subunit ribosomal RNA", at positions 524 to 776 of the family's 1533-position model. The record is from RNAcentral.
GACGUAGGGCGCGAGCGUUGUCCGGAUUUAUUGGGCGUAAAGAGCUCGUAGGCGGUCUGUCGCGUCUGCUGUGAAAACCCGAGGCUCAACCUCGGGCCUGCAGUGGGUACGGGCAGACUAGAGUGCGGUAGGGGAGAAUGGAAUUCCUGGUGUAGCGGUGGAAUGCGCAGAUAUCAGGAGGAACACCGAUGGCGAAGGCAGUUCUCUGGGCCGUAACUGACGCUGAGGAGCGAAAGCGUGGGGAGCGAACAGG